UCCUCCUCCUCGCGCACUAUGCUGCACUUGCGCGAGCGCUACGGACGCGACACAGUCUCAGCUGCGGAUUUAGAAGUUGCCUGGAAGAGAUCGCUUUUAAGCGAUAAGGCCGCCCUUUGUACCUAAUGAAUAUAUUGUCAAUAUUUUUUCUUUCUUUGAUAUGUAUCAUUUCUGUUUUUGGUGUACAAUAAAGUGUAUUAUUAUUAUUAUUA
Molecule: unclassified non-coding RNA, 212 nt
Filed under: Melitaea cinxia (Glanville fritillary)
Lineage: Eukaryota; Metazoa; Arthropoda; Insecta; Lepidoptera; Nymphalidae
Description: misc RNA ENSMCXG00005000661.1
Source: RNAcentral